CUCCUGUACCAUCUGGGCCGACCAAGGGCCUCCUGGGGUCCUCAACUGGGACCUGGUCAGACUAGCUUUCAAGCCUCCCAGGGGUCUAGCUUGGUGCUUCUGACCUCUAGGGCCAUCCUGACUUUAGCAGUGACCAGGAAAGAGGGUUGCUGAUUAGGCAGACCUGAGAAAAUAUACACACAAGUAUACAGAACCGAGGACAGGCAAAUUUUCCCAGGGUUACGUGAGUGCUUUAAAAGGGGUGCUGGGAAAGGCACUGCUUCCCUUAAAUGAUGAACUUGUAGGCAGGACUACUGAGGGGCAACUUGGGAGUGGCGUGAGGGGACCUUCUGGUUCCUUUUAGACCGCAUCUCACAGAUCCAGAUUUUCACUCUGUGGCACCCUGGUAAGGGCCCCAUCGUGCCAGCUCACUGCUCUUAGGGAUUCCUGGUGUCAUAGGCUCUCAGCCAUGUGGCUCUGCUCUCCUGGCCCCAGAUGGCUGCACCAGGAUGGGCGCCUGGGUUCAGACUUCAACUUGCUCCCGGUGUGCGUCUUCCCCUAUUACUUUGGUAAAGAACACUUGACAAUGCACCCAGUUACAGUAGAACCUCUCCCAGCCUCCCUUGCAGGUAAAUGUGAUCAAGUAAGUGACUAUGUUCUAACCAAUAAGAUAUAGUUAUGUGAACCUUCUGAUGAGUGUUUUAAAGGGGAAGUGAUGUGUCCUUGGACCCCUCAUGGUGUGGCCUGGAGUGUGAAUGACAUUGGCUGGGCUCCCUGCCAGGCCUGGACUGCCUCUGCCUCCUCACUUUCUUGACAUGAGAGAGAGAGAAAUGCCUACCUCAUCCAAGUCACUAUUUUUCAGGUCUCUGCUACCUGCAGCCAAAUGUGGUCUCAAGUGUUGAAUUUCCUGACCCACAGGUGGCCAGAGGCCCAUGAGGAAGUCUGAAAUGAAGUGUUGCCAUUGACUCUGCUUUUUCCUAGACAAGACUGCUGACCUGACCACAGGCAUCACCUGACAAGAAUGAGACCCUUUGGCAGGACAACGACCAGUCAGUGAGUUCAGACAAUGCCUCUGAAAUGGAAUCGGAAUUGGCACAAGGUCCCUGUCUUGGCUGAACAAACACGGGUUGGUUAAUGCCUAUCAUCGAACUGUGAGUAAAAUGUCCACGGCACUUUGGGGUAGUAUCGCUCUCUGUACAAGUACUUGUUGAGUGCCUACUGGGUACACGGCUGAUGGCACAUUACCACCUGACAUGCCCAUCCAGCCUUC
This is a long non-coding RNA of Phyllostomus discolor (pale spear-nosed bat), 1249 nucleotides long. RefSeq lists it as uncharacterized. The transcript has 3 exons. Lineage: Eukaryota; Metazoa; Chordata; Mammalia; Chiroptera; Phyllostomidae. The record is from RefSeq and is a predicted model, not a curated record.